CGCUCGUCGCCGCGUGGUGCGUCGAGGUGGAGGGCAGGGGGGCGGUGGUGUCCGUCACCGCCUGGUCCGGGUGUCAGUUCCCGCGAUUGCGCUCCUCCUCCUCCGCCGCCGUGUAAGAUUGUCUUCUUCGGAUCGACCCGCCCCUCCGUGGCAAUGUGUAGAGCCUCUCCUCCUCUCGCGUCUGGUGCGGCAAUUCGUCCUCGAUUCCUGCCUCUCCUCCUCUGGCCUCGCUCGGUUCGUCCGCUUAGUUUAGAAGAAUCGCGUCUGAUUUGUUCCAUUUUGCUCGUCCUCGGUUCGUCUAUUCUGAUUGAAAAAUUGCGUCUGGUUUGAUUGAUUUUGCUCGUCCUCGCCGUCGGCGUCAGUUUACAGUCGCGUGUGAUUUUAUUUUUUCUCGUCCUCGCCGUCAUCAUCAGUUUAGAGUCGCGUGUGAUUUUAUUUUGCUCGUCCUCGCCGUCGCCCUGAUGCUCUCUCGUGUUCUUGGGGCCGUCUCGUCCGGGGGUCUUCGUUCCUGCGAGUCUCGGAGAAAGCAAGCGAGCGGUCGGUCGGUUUGGGUCACUCUCUGCUUGAGAAACUUGUGUGUUCGCUUCUGUUAUCUGCCUGCAUUUCGUGUUCGUAUCUGGGCGAUGGUUGCAAUAAUGAGCGGUUCUGGUUUCAAAAUUGUAGCAGUGUCAAAUCGCUCCCUCUGUUUCAUCACCUGUGUUGUUCGUCGGUUGUUUUCAUAUGCCAAACGCAUGCGCCCUUGUGAUACUCUGGUUGCCCUCUGUCGAUUCUUGUUCUACCGGUAGGUGUGUGUGCUCCCAUCCUAGAUGCAGAGAAUCUUAGUUCUUGUCUGUUACAGCUGUUCUGAUGCUGUUAUUUUCAAUUGUUUAUUGUUACAUCAUGCUCUGCUUAUGUUCCCAUAUGGCACGAUUGACUGAUUGAUUGUUGUUUGAUUGAUUGCCUUGAGAUGAACUGUUGUUUGUUGUUUGAUUGAUUGCCUUGAGAUGGACUGUUGUUUGUUGUUUGAUGAUUGAUUUUCUUGAGAAGGUAAAAACAAUGUAGGCCAGUUGAUUGAUGUUUGUUGCCUUGAGAUGGUACAUGUUUAUAUGGCAUGAUUGAUUACUGUUUGUGUAUGGUUAUUAAGGUUGAUUGCUAUUUGUUGAUUGAUUGAUUGUUGUUUGUUGAUUGAUUGAUUGUUGUUUGUUGAUUGAUUGCUGUUUGUUGAUUGGUAUCUGACUUUGGUAAUGGUAGUUCCUGAUCAUAGGUAACAGACCUAGUGCUAUUCUUUUUUCUGAACCUUUUUUGUGAUUAUUAUGCCUUCACAUUGCACUGCUCCCAGAUCCAUAUCGACAUGCCCACGCUGUUUGAUGAGGAUAAAGAUGUAAGGAACUCAUCCCAAGAAUCUCUCAUGCUCCUUGUAUUAACUUGGUGACUAUAUUUACAUGUUAAAUUAUUAUUUUUGUGAAACUGGAGCUCGUUGCUGUAACCCAUUAUAUGACUUUAUGAGCGUGCACCACUUUCAGGUUAUGAAAAAAUGGGGAAAACAAGAUUGACAUCCUCUCUCUUUUUAUACAAGGAAUACAGAAGAUGUGCGGCAAGCACGGGGAGUUCCUCUCAAAGUUAGGUGAUCUUAGCCAAACUCUUAUUUUUGCCAAAAUUUAGAAUGUAGAGGGUUUGAACCAUUUUGAUGAGAUCCUGGAAGAAGCUGAUGAUAUAAUUCUGUUAAGAGGAAACCUUGGAAUUGAUCUUCCACCUGAAAAGGUGCGGGCUGCUAUCAAAGUUAAGGCUUCGGUCAUCAUUUGCUUCACCUCAUCUGGACGGGCUGCAAGGUGGAAAGAGAAAGAAAAAGAGUAUUUCUUCUUAUAGGAGCUUCACCUCAUCUUGUAGUUUAAUGAAAAUUGAUUCAUACAGUAUGCCAUAUCGAGUAUCUGCAGGCUAAUUGCCAAUUACAGGCCCACCAUGCCAUUCCUCGUCUGAAAACAAAUCAAUUGAAGUGGAGCUUCACA
Triticum dicoccoides is the source of this 1985-nucleotide long non-coding RNA. RefSeq lists it as uncharacterized. Lineage: Eukaryota; Viridiplantae; Streptophyta; Magnoliopsida; Poales; Poaceae. The transcript has 4 exons. The record is from RefSeq and is a predicted model, not a curated record.